Long non-coding RNA from Pipra filicauda (Wire-tailed manakin), 906 nucleotides. RefSeq lists it as uncharacterized. The transcript is spliced from 2 exons. NCBI's taxonomy places the organism in Eukaryota, Metazoa, Chordata, Aves, Passeriformes, Pipridae. The record is from RefSeq and is a predicted model, not a curated record.
GCCGCUGACUCACCCGCCCCGCCCCCCGCGCCUGACCCCGGGGAGCGGCGGCUCCGCCGGGCGGGCUGUGGGAACUCGGCCCCGACCGCGCCCCCGCCUCCUCGGGAGAAGCUCCUGCUCAGGAACUACUCAUUUACUGCUGCUGGUAGAGGGAUAACGCGUACGGGUUCAUACAGCGGAGGAGACUUGAAAUGUCCCCAGAUCCACAGCAAGAGCUGAUGGUAAUGACUUAAUAUCGUUUAAAUUACUCUUCAGGAUUCCCAUCGUAUCCUGCCUUGUGUAUCUCUCAUGCAGCAUAGCAAGGGACAAAAAAUGGAGAAGGGAAAAGGGAAAGACGUUAUUUUUGUACUUUUUAUGAUACUACAUAUAUAUAGUUAACACCAAGCAGCUAUAUACAGAUAGUUCAAAAAAAGUAUGAAUACAUAAAGUGUCCAGUGAUCCCAAACAGCAGGAGCAUGAGGGGAAUGACUCUUCCAAAGCAUAGACUGGUGAAUCUACAGAAGUUUGCAUAACACCACUCUGAGUCACGUAUGUCUGUAAAGUUAUUUCAUGGUCACUGGAUCAAAGAUCUACAUAAACUAAAACUAAAUAUUUUGAUUUCCAGCACAUGGAUAAGUGUUUGCAGUUAUUCACAUGCAGUUCGUUUACCUGAAAACCAGCAGUCACAUGCAGUUUCUUGAACUGGGUGCAGCAGUACUCAACCCAGCAGCAGCAGCAGCUACUGAGUGCCAAAGGAAAAUAAAACAUGAAGAAGCAUUAUUCUGCUGGAAAAAUGAAAUGGAAAAUGACUCUCCUGUAGCCAUAGACUCAUGAGGAGCAUAUUACAUUACUAAAAUGUUUAGCUUCGUAGUUGCAAACCAGCCACUAGAGGUCAGUGGUUUGGAAUAAAAUUAGCACAAGAAGGAA